AAAGUCUUUGGGUUCCGGGGGGAGUAUGGUUGCAAAGCUGAAACUUAAAGGAAUUGACGGAAGGGCACCCCCAGGAGUGGAGCCUGGGGCUUAAUUUGACUCCACACGGGAAACCUCCCCCGGGCCGGACACGGACAGGAUUGACAGAUUGAUAGCUCUUUCUCGAUUCCGUGGGUGGUGGUGCAUGGCCGUUCUUAGUUGGUGGAACGAUUUGUCUGGUUAAUUCCGAUAACGAACGAGACUCUGGCAUGCUAACUAGUUACGCGACCCCCGAGCGGUCGGCGUCCCCCAACUUCUUAGAGGGACAAGUGGCGUUCAGCCACCCGAGAUUGAGCAAUAACAGGUCUGUGAUGCCCUUAGAUGUCCGGGGCUGCACGCGCGCUACACUGACUGGCUCAACGUGUGCCUACCCUACGCCGGCAGGCGCGGGUAACCCG
Molecule: ribosomal RNA, 437 nt
Filed under: Babesia caballi
Lineage: Eukaryota; Apicomplexa; Aconoidasida; Piroplasmida; Babesiidae
Description: SSU rRNA
Rfam family: Eukaryotic small subunit ribosomal RNA
Source: RNAcentral